RNAcentral lists this ribosomal RNA (497 nucleotides) under uncultured bacterium. RNAcentral's name for it is "partial 16S ribosomal RNA". It matches the Rfam family "Bacterial small subunit ribosomal RNA", at positions 28 to 507 of the family's 1533-position model. The record is from RNAcentral.
GAUGAACGCUGGCGGCGUGCCUAAUACAUGCAAGUCGAGCGAACGGACGAGAAGCUUGCUUCUCUGAUGUUAGCGGCGGGCGGGUGAGUAACACGUGGAUAACCUACCUAUAAGACUGGGAUAACUUCGGGAAACCGGAGCUAAUACCGGAUAAUAUUUUGAACCGCAUGGUUCAAAAGUGAAAGACGGUCUUGCUGUCACUUAUAGAUGGAUCCGCGCUGCAUUAGCUAGUUGGUAAGGUAACGGCUUACCAAGGCAACGAUGCAUAGCCGACCUGAGAGGGUGAUCGGCCACACUGGAACUGAGGCACGGUCCAGACUCCUACGGGAGGCAGCAGUAGGGAAUCUUCCGCAAUGGGCGAAAGCCUGACGGAGCAACGCCGCGUGAGUGAUGAAGGUCUUCGGAUCGUAAAACUCUGUUAUUAGGGAAGAACAUAUGUGUAAGUAACUGUGCACAUCUUGACGGUACCUAAUCAGAAAGCCACGGCUAACUACGUG